AAUACCUCAAGAAUAGAAGGACGUAUUUCAGUCUAGCAUUGGUUUCACCGCGAAUUCAUCAAUUUGGAAAUGAAGAAUUCCCAGACUUCGUGUGUAAGGUUGGAUGGGGAAAGAAAUUCUAGGAGAAUCUGCUGCAGCGUCUUCCGCACGUGCACCGUCUUCGCACCGCGAUGCUGCGCGAACAAUUUUGUUGUUCCGUCACAAAAACUCGAUGGCGCCGGAAUAAAUAAACCACCAGUUUACUAAAACAGCGCACCCGUCACACUGGCGUAAAUUGAAACUUCAAGAGGAUUGAUACUGCAAAGCCUGGAAAAUCUUUUUUGACAAUGUACUCACCCUCCAUUAGGAUUAAAAUGAAUCCAAAAUUGACCUAAGCAGCACUGUACGAGAGGAAUCGAAAUCGAAAUAUAAUGAGGUCGAGCACUAUAAUCACAAAAAUUUGAUUAAUGCAAAUUUGAAAACAUAUUCUGUAUCGAUCAACUGCAUCCAACCAUUUGUCAAAAUAAUUUUCAUACGCUGUGGCAGCGCCCAAUGCAAUUAUUGUUGCCCUUUAUUUCA
This is a long non-coding RNA of Cloeon dipterum, 558 nucleotides long. RefSeq lists it as uncharacterized. The record is from RefSeq and is a predicted model, not a curated record. Lineage: Eukaryota; Metazoa; Arthropoda; Insecta; Ephemeroptera; Baetidae. The transcript has 3 exons.